Molecule: unclassified non-coding RNA, 167 nt
Filed under: uncultured Sordariales
Lineage: Eukaryota; Fungi; Ascomycota; Sordariomycetes; Sordariales
Description: sequence contains ITS2
Source: RNAcentral
CAACCCUCAGGCCCUAGCCGGCCUGGCGUUGGGGCAUCUGCGGGUGACCGCAGGCCCUGAAAGAUAGUGGCGGUGUCCGCUAGCACUCCGGGCGCAGUAGGUGUCUUUCUCGCCGAGGACUGUCUUGCGGGCUGCCGGCCGUAAAACACCCCCUAAAGGAUGGAAGG